CACGUAGGGCGCGAGCGUUGUCCGGAAUUAUUGGGCGUAAAGAGCUCGUAGGCGGCCUGUUGCGUCCGCUGUGAAAGCCCGGGGCUUAACCCCCGGGUCUGCAGUGGAUACGGGCAGGCUAGAGGUAGGUAGGGGAGAACGGAAUUCCCGGUGUAGCGGUGAAAUGCGCAGAUAUCGGGAGGAACACCGGUGGCGAAGGCGGUUCUCUGGGCCUGUACUGACGCUGAGGAGCGAAAGCGUGGGGAGCGAACAGG
Molecule: ribosomal RNA, 254 nt
Filed under: uncultured bacterium
Lineage: Bacteria
Description: partial 16S ribosomal RNA
Rfam family: Bacterial small subunit ribosomal RNA
Source: RNAcentral